UGGGGAAUAUUGGACAAUGGGCGAAAGCCUGAUCCAGCCAUGCCGCGUGUGUGAAGAAGGUCUUCGGAUUGUAAAGCACUUUAAGUUGGGAGGAAGGGCAGUUACCUAAUACGUGAUUGUUUUGACGUUACCGACAGAAUAAGCACCGGCUAACUCUGUGCCAGCAGCCGCGGUAAUACAGAGGGUGCAAGCGUUAAUCGGAAUUACUGGGCGUAAAGCGCGCGUAGGUGGUUAGUUAAGUUGGAUGUGAAAUCCCGGGCUCAACCUGGGAACUGCAUUCAAAACUGACUGACUAGAGUAUGGUAGAGGGUGGUGGAAUUUCCUGUGUAGCGGUGAAAUGCGUAGAUAUAGGAAGGAACACCAGUGGCGAAGGCGACCACCUGGACUGAUACUGACACUGAGGUGCGAAAGCGUGGGGAGCAAACAGGAUUAGAUACCCGCGUAGUCCCUGAGCGGGCUGGCAAGGCGCAU
Molecule: ribosomal RNA, 471 nt
Filed under: uncultured bacterium
Lineage: Bacteria
Description: bacterial SSU rRNA
Rfam family: Bacterial small subunit ribosomal RNA
Source: RNAcentral